RNAcentral lists this ribosomal RNA (406 nucleotides) under uncultured bacterium. RNAcentral describes it as "partial 16S ribosomal RNA". It matches the Rfam family "Bacterial small subunit ribosomal RNA", at positions 30 to 526 of the family's 1533-position model. The record is from RNAcentral.
AUUGAACGCUGGCGGCAGGCCUAACACAUGCAAGUCGAACGCGUGGCGGACGGGUGAGUACUGUCUGGGAAACUGCCUGAUGGAGGGGGAACACUACUGGAAACGGUCGCUAAUCCCGCAUACCAUCGGGUGUGCCCAUAUGGGAUGAGCUAGUAGGUGGGGUAACGGCUCACCUAGGCGACGAUCCCUAGCUGGUCUGAGAGGAUGACCAGCCACACUGGAACUGAGACACGGUCCAGACUCCUACGGGAGGCAGCAGUGGGGAAUAUUGCACAAUGGGCGCAAGCCUGAUGCAGCCAUGCCGCGUGUAUGAAGAAGGCCGUCGGGUUGUAAAGUACUUUCAGCGGGGAGGCGUUACCCGCAGAAGAAGCACCGGCUAACUCCGUGCCAGCAGCCGCGGUAAUUC